Non-coding RNA from Manis javanica (Malayan pangolin), 1481 nucleotides. The record is from RefSeq and is a predicted model, not a curated record. Lineage: Eukaryota; Metazoa; Chordata; Mammalia; Pholidota; Manidae.
CCCCUGCUGAGUAUUUAUCUUGUGCCAAAGACUAGAGAUGAGAAUACAGACGGAAGUAAAGCAGAGUUCUUGCCUUCAAGGGCUUUCAGUCUGAGAGGGGGAGACCAGUGGGUAAGUAAACAGUGAGGGGCCCUGAAACACACGUGCUGGGCACAGCAGGAGCACAGGCCUCGAGGUGGGCAGCACCAGAAGGCAAAGCAGCCUGGGCUUCAUGGGGAGGUGGCACACGAAAUGCCUCUUGAGAGACAGGUUAGGUAUUCAGGGAGAAGGAGCAGAGAAAGGGCGACCCCCAAGUGCCAGGCCAUUCUGCAGCCACUGCAAAUUUUCCUCCAGCCAAACAUGAAAGUAAGAGGGUUUUUAAAUUUGCGAAGCAUUCACAGUGGAUCGAGCUGUAUAAUUACCUGGCAGCCUGCCGCACAAACCUGUGUGCGCACGCUUUUCAGUCUGUUGUCGGAGACUGUCUGCCAGCGGGUGUGUACUGUGUGUCCAUUGUGUACAGACGCUGUAAUAGGCAUAUGGGGAAGAAAGGAAAGGGGAAAGCAGGCAGAAACUCAAAUAUUGUGAAAAACCAAGUGUUUUGUGUGCGUGCUGGUUACAGUUGUGGCUGCAUCUGAGUCACCGUGUGCGCUGACAAUGAAGCUAUUGUUCCGGCCUGGCUGCAGGCCCGGAGCUGGUGUGGGCUGCCUGCCCUUUGUGCACUCCAUGUGGGUCUCCGCGCUCAUUUGCAUAAAGCCUUUCAAUUGGGAUCACAUCUUCUAUAUGGGUGUCCUUUAUUACCUUAUUGGAGAAUUAGUGCCUCAGAAAACUCUGCUGGUCUAGAAAAGCAGCAAGACAGAGAAGUAGGCCUGACCCACCAGCCUGUGGGGGCCAGUUGCCAGUCUCCAUAGUUCCCACUUCUGUGGUGUCCACAAAAGGCUGAGAAUUCCUCGCAGCCCUGUUGGGGAACAUGCGUGUAAAGGAAGCAAGGCCCCAAGCAAAACGGCUGGAAUGCUGAAUGAACUUCAUCAUGAACAAAUGAUAAGUUGCGGCGUGCUUGCUGCCCUGUCGUCUGUCACUGCUGCUGUCAGUGGCCUCCUGAGAUUGCUCCACAACACAGAAGAGGACUUCUUGUGUCACUGAAUGAGCUGAUGAUCGUCAUCGGCAUUCUUUUUGCCUACAUUUCAAAUUACGCCUUUGCCAAUGUUCUCCAGGGCUGGAAGUACAUGUUCAGCCUUGUUAUUCCCUUGGGAGUUUUGCAAGCGAUUGCUAUGUACUUUCUUCCUCCAAGUCCCCGGUUUCUAGUAAUGAAAGGACACGAGGAAGCUGCUAGCAAGGUUCUCAGAAGGUUGAGAGCCAUGUCAGAAACAACAGAAGAACUCACUCUGAUAAAAUCUUCCCUGAAAGAUGAGUAUCAGUAUAGUUUUUGGGAUCUGUUUCGUUCCAAGGACAACAUGAGGACUCGAGUCAUGAUAGGUUUAACACUGGUGUUUUUUGUACAAAUC